AUUGAACGCUGGCGGCAUGCCUUACACAUGCAAGUCGAACGGCAGCACGGGAGCAAUCCUGGUGGCGAGUGGCGAACGGGUGAGUAAUAUAUCGGAACGUGCCCAGUCGUGGGAAUAACGUAGCGAAAGCUACGCUAAUACCGCAUACGAUCUAUGGAUGAAAGCGGGGGAUCGCAAGACCUCGCGCGAUUGGAGCGGCCGAUAUCAGAUUAGGUAGUUGGUGAGGUAAAGGCUCACCAAGCCGACGAUCUGUAGCUGGUCUGAGAGGACGACCAGCCACACUGGGACUGAGACACGGCCCAGACUCCUACGGAGGCAGCAGUGGGAAUUUUGGACAAUGGGCGCAAGCCUGAUCCAGCAAUGCCGCGUGCAGGAUGAAGGCCUCGGUUGUAAC
RNAcentral lists this ribosomal RNA (394 nucleotides) under uncultured bacterium. RNAcentral describes it as "bacterial SSU rRNA". It matches the Rfam family "Bacterial small subunit ribosomal RNA", at positions 30 to 429 of the family's 1533-position model. The record is from RNAcentral.